GGGUUCGGGAGCUGUUUCCCGGAGGAUUAGAUGGUCGGGCCGCCAUCU
This 48-nucleotide non-coding RNA is filed under the name Elusimicrobiota bacterium. RNAcentral's name for it is "Elusimicrobia bacterium Li+-I sequence". It matches the Rfam family "nhaA-I RNA". Rfam says of the family: Acidobacteria, Alphaproteobacteria, Betaproteobacteria and Gammaproteobacteria, Verrucomicrobia, cand. division NC10. Downstream gene The record is from RNAcentral. Lineage: Bacteria; Pseudomonadati; Elusimicrobiota.